Long non-coding RNA from Pipra filicauda (Wire-tailed manakin), 988 nucleotides. RefSeq lists it as uncharacterized. The transcript has 3 exons. The record is from RefSeq and is a predicted model, not a curated record. NCBI's taxonomy places the organism in Eukaryota, Metazoa, Chordata, Aves, Passeriformes, Pipridae.
CAACAUUGUCCCCAGUGACCUAUAUUUUAAGUCUAAGUGGGAAUGGAAGUGUGUAAACACCUUGGAGAUAUGCAACAUGAUGCCACAUUAUGGGAGAAGGGGACACAGGUGAUCUGACCUCAGAAUAUGACUUUACAUGCCAGGACUGAAGAUGGUGAGCUGUGUCAGACAAGCAGGCCCCAGCAGGGAGGCCUUGGAAGGGAGUCCAAGCUACACUGGAAGGAGGGGGGACAGCAGGCAUUGAAGGAAGAAGGGUUUGAAGAUAUAAAGGCAAUAGGGGACAUGGAGAGAGGGUACAGGGAGACUAUUAUAGUAAGGGAAUGCAGAGAGGAGAGCGGAGGCUGUUACAGGUUUUGCUGGUUUUGCUGCCUGCUACAUCCUUAUUUGACAUGUGAAAGGAAUGCGAAGGUGCAAGACAACAGGAAUUAAUAAAUAAUCAGUGCUUUUCAAUUCCAAGGGUUUUAUAAACGUUAAUGAACCUUCAUGAGCUGUUAGAGAGGUAUUUAAGCCGUAUUCCAUUUUCACAGAUAAGGAGAUGAAAGCUCUGGCUCAAGUCCAAAGUUUUCAAAAGCAGAAACUACUUUUAAGAGCUCCCCUUGACAUUCAGCACCAGAACUCCAAAAGGAUUGAUUUCACAGUUGCCAUCACUGUCAGCUGUAUCCUGAUUACUUCUGCAAAGCUAAGUCUAAACAUGCACACUCAAAAGGAGCAUUAGCUUCUGGAAAUUCAGGCUCUGUUGCCUUGUUGUUUUCCCAAAGUAUAUAAGAGAAACUAGUUUAUGAGAGAAAUAGAUAUGUAAAAACAUUUACAUUUUUUACUACUGGACCAUGACAAGAAUGGAAACAAAGACUUUGCGGGCUUAAAACACUUACAGAAAGGGCAAAGUAAAACAAAGAUUUUAAAAAAAGACUUCCAAGUACACCCAUUCAUCUGUGCAAAUGGGAAGGGAAGCAGAGCAUGUUUCCAAAUCUUUCUACAUCUCCCAUAA